Molecule: ribosomal RNA, 254 nt
Filed under: uncultured bacterium
Lineage: Bacteria
Description: partial 16S ribosomal RNA
Rfam family: Bacterial small subunit ribosomal RNA
Source: RNAcentral
UACGUAGGGUGCAAGCGUUAAUCGGAAUUACUGGGCGUAAAGCGUGCGCAGGCGGUUUUGUAAGUCUGUCGUGAAAUCCCCGGGCUCAACCUGGGAAUUGCGAUGGAGACUGCAAGACUAGAAUCUGGCAGAGGGGGGUAGAAUUCCACGUGUGAGCAGUGAAAUGCGUAGAUAUCUGGAGGAACACCGGUGGCGAAGGCGGCAUCCUGGACCGGCAUUGACGCUGAGGCGCGAAAGCUAGGGGAGCAAACGGG